AUACGUAGGGGGCGAGCGUUGUCCGGAAUGAUUGGGCGUAAAGGGCGCGUAGGCGGCGCGGUAAGUCUGGAGUGAAAGUCCUGCUUUCAAGGUGGGAAUUGCUUUGGAUACUGCCGCGCUUGAGUGCAGGAGAGGUUAUCGGAAUUCCCGGUGUAGCGGUGAAAUGCGUAGAGAUCGGGAGGAACACCAGUGGCGAAGGCGGGUAUCUGGACUGCAACGGAAGCUGAGGCGCGAACGUGUGGGGAGCAAACAGGAUGUGAUACCCUGGUAGUCCACGCGGUACACGAUGGGUACUAGGUGUAGGAGGUCUAGACCCCUUCAGUGCCGGAGUUAACACAAUAAGCGUUCCGCCUGGGGAGUACGGCCGCAAGGUUGAAACUCAAAUGAUUUGGCGGGG
RNAcentral lists this ribosomal RNA (397 nucleotides) under uncultured bacterium. RNAcentral's name for it is "partial 16S ribosomal RNA". It matches the Rfam family "Bacterial small subunit ribosomal RNA", at positions 523 to 918 of the family's 1533-position model. The record is from RNAcentral.